This 301-nucleotide ribosomal RNA is filed under the name uncultured bacterium. RNAcentral describes it as "partial 16S ribosomal RNA". It matches the Rfam family "Bacterial small subunit ribosomal RNA", at positions 509 to 808 of the family's 1533-position model. The record is from RNAcentral.
CAGCCGCCGCGGUAAUACGUAGGUGGCAAGCGUUGUCCGGAAUUAUUGGGCGUAAAGGGCUCGCAGGCGGUUUCUUAAGUCUGAUGUGAAAGCCCCCGGCUCAACCGGGGAGGGUCAUUGGAAACUGGGAAACUUGAGUGCAGAAGAGGAGAGUGGAAUUCAACGUGUAGCGGUGAAAUGCGUAGAGAUGUGGAGGAACACCAGUGGCGAAGGCGACUCUCUGGUCUGUAACUGACGCUGAGGAGCGAAAGCGUGGGGAGCGAACAGGAUUAGAUACCCCGUAGUCCCUGUCUCUUAUACA